GCUACCAGCCGGGUUAUCGCUCCGCUUUGCGGGGAGGAAAGUCUGGACAGCGCAGGGCAAUGCACCGGUGAAGAGCCGGGUAUGGGGUCCCGGGUCAAGUGCCCGGGAUUCGAUAACAGAAAGUGCCACAGAAAAUUACAGCCCAGCCCCGUCCCGGAUCAAGUCCGGGAUGACAAGGUUGAGUGAUGGUGAAAACGUGAGGUAAGAGCUCACGACUAUGCCUGGCGACAGUCAUAGUGGGUAAACCUUGCAUGCUGAAAUGCCACGUAUACCAUCGGUUGAAGCGGCCCGCUUUAGUUUCUGUGUCAUCCCGGACCUGAUCCGGGAGGCCGGGACACGAUGGAGGGUAGGCAGAUUGAUCCGCCGGGUAACCGGCAGGACAGAUAAAUGAUAACCGCCCGCCGCAAGGAGGGAACAGAAUCCGGCUUACAGGCUGGUAGCAAGU
This 445-nucleotide RNase P RNA is filed under the name Niabella sp. RNAcentral describes it as "RNase P RNA component class A". It matches the Rfam family "Bacterial RNase P class A". Rfam says of the family: Ribonuclease P (RNase P) is a ubiquitous endoribonuclease, found in archaea, bacteria and eukarya as well as chloroplasts and mitochondria. Its best characterised activity is the generation of mature 5'-ends of tRNAs by cleaving the 5'-leader elements of precursor-tRNAs. Cellular RNase Ps are ribonucleoproteins. Lineage: Bacteria; Pseudomonadati; Bacteroidota; Chitinophagia; Chitinophagales; Chitinophagaceae. The record is from RNAcentral.